Solanum lycopersicum (tomato) is the source of this 101-nucleotide non-coding RNA. The record is from Rfam. NCBI's taxonomy places the organism in Eukaryota, Viridiplantae, Streptophyta, Magnoliopsida, Solanales, Solanaceae.
GUGGCUUACACUUUGGCUUAAAUUGGAAUGAUACAGAGAAAAUUAGCACGACCCCGCAUGCAAGGAUAACAUGCAUAAAUCGAGAAAAAAAAACAUCUCAA